UACGUAGGGGGCAAGCGUUGUCCGGAUUUAUUGGGCGUAAAGCGCGUGUAGGUGGCCAAGUAGGUCCGCUGUGAAAACUUGAGGCUCAACCUCAAGCUGUCGGUGGAAACCACUUGGCUAGAGUCCGGAAGAGGAGAGUGGAAUUCCUGGUAUAGCGGUGAAAUGCGCAGAUAUCAGGAAGAACACCAAUGGCGAAGGCAGCUCUCUGGGACGGUACUGACACUGAGACGCGAAAGCGUGGGGAGCGAACAGG
This 253-nucleotide ribosomal RNA is filed under the name uncultured bacterium. RNAcentral's name for it is "partial 16S ribosomal RNA". It matches the Rfam family "Bacterial small subunit ribosomal RNA", at positions 524 to 776 of the family's 1533-position model. The record is from RNAcentral.